This is a long non-coding RNA of Eptesicus fuscus (big brown bat), 668 nucleotides long. RefSeq lists it as uncharacterized. Lineage: Eukaryota; Metazoa; Chordata; Mammalia; Chiroptera; Vespertilionidae. The transcript has 4 exons. The record is from RefSeq and is a predicted model, not a curated record.
AAGCUGGGAGCCACCAGGACCCAGGUGUCCGGGUUUCAGAGGGCCCCUUCAAACAGCUGUCACCGAAGAACCUCUCCAGCCAGUUACUCUUGCCAGGCCUCAGGUACUGCCACCCACGCCUCUGGCUGGAGGUGCCUGAAGUCCAGUGGGGAGAGAGUGCCCCCAGAGGGCAACCGGCCAGUCACCGCUCCCGAAAACUGUCCACUUGACCUCGCACCAUGGAAACGCACCAGCCUGGCCCGGUUCGCAUUGCUGCCAGAGCCCCGUCUGGGUUUCCUCCGUUUUCCUCCUUUGGAUUUUCCCUAAACUUCAACUGAAGUAACUCCAGGACAUGGACUCUGGAUUCCUCACAUCUUGUCUCCAUCAUGCAGUCCACGCAGUAAUUGGGGAAUCCUGUGAAAAUGAUAUGUUUUUUAUUUAUUUUAGAGAGGGAGAGGGAGAAAGAGAAACAUCGAUGUGUGAGAGAAACAUGGAUUUGGAUUGGCUGCUUCCUGCACGCCCCCCUACUGGGAAUCCAGACCAAAAUCCUGGGGAUGUACCCUGACCAGGAAUCGAACCAAGGACCUUUUUGGUGCAUGGAUGAUGCUCAACCAGCUGAACCACAGUGGCCAGACCUGUAUGUUUUGAAAACUUCAUUUUAAUUUCUAAUAUGGUCAGUAUCAAAAGAA